UCACUUUAGUAGCAAAUAUAAAUGGAAACAAUACAGAGAUUAGCAGGGUCCCUUAGCAGGGAUGACACACAAAUUUGUGAAGCAUUUAACAUUUGU
Molecule: small nuclear RNA, 96 nt
Organism: Otolemur garnettii (small-eared galago)
Lineage: Eukaryota; Metazoa; Chordata; Mammalia; Primates; Galagidae
Source: Ensembl